AGCAGUCGCCGCGGGAAUACGAAGGGGGCUAGCGUUGCUCGGAAUUACUGGGCGUAAAGGGCGCGUAGGCGGACAGUUAGGUUGGGGGUGAAAGCCCGGGGCUCAACCUCGGAAUUGCCUUCAAUACUGGCUGUCUUGAGUAUGAGAGAGGUGUGUGGAACUCCGAGUGUAGAGGUGAAAUUCGUAGAUAUUCGGAAGAACACCAGUGGCGAAGGCGGCUUACUGGCUCAUUCUAGACGCUGAGGUGCGAAAGCGUGGGGAGCAAACAGGAUUAGAUACCCGCGUAGUCCCUGUCUCUUAUAC
RNAcentral lists this ribosomal RNA (303 nucleotides) under uncultured bacterium. Its description in RNAcentral is "partial 16S ribosomal RNA". It matches the Rfam family "Bacterial small subunit ribosomal RNA", at positions 507 to 807 of the family's 1533-position model. The record is from RNAcentral.